UCCGGGUGCGAUGGCUAGUGCCUGUAAUCCAAGUCACUGGGAGGCUGAGGUUGGUGGAUCGAGUGAGCUGAGGACCUCAGGGAUGUAGCGCUAUGUCAAACGGGUGUCUGCACUAAAUUCGGUAUCGAUAUGGUGCUCCUGGGGGAGCCCGGGGCCACCAGGUCGUCUAAGGAGGGGUGCACCGGUCCAGGUCGAAACGAAGCAGGUCAAGCCCCCAUGCCGCCCAGCAGACCACAUCUGUAGGCCACACCCAUAGACUCCUCUACAGACCUGGGCCCGGCUUACCAUAAGAUGCUUUU
This 299-nucleotide signal recognition particle RNA is filed under the name Salmo salar (Atlantic salmon). Its description in RNAcentral is "Metazoan signal recognition particle RNA (ENSSSAG00000115788.1)". It matches the Rfam family "Metazoan signal recognition particle RNA". Rfam says of the family: The signal recognition particle (SRP) is a universally conserved ribonucleoprotein. The record is from RNAcentral. Lineage: Eukaryota; Metazoa; Chordata; Actinopteri; Salmoniformes; Salmonidae.